Long non-coding RNA from Oncorhynchus tshawytscha (Chinook salmon), 1521 nucleotides. NCBI's taxonomy places the organism in Eukaryota, Metazoa, Chordata, Actinopteri, Salmoniformes, Salmonidae. The record is from Ensembl.
GAUGCCAGACCGUCUACAGCAUCUACGCCUGUAGUGUUUUGGUAGCCCAUAAAACAAAGGACCAGUGUCCGGUGUGAAGGGAACAGCUGAGUUGGAGUUGAAGUCGAAAUCAAGGUUAGUAACUAUUGAUCUGAUGUCCAAAAACACUUGGCAGUCAUGUGUAAUAAUAGUAUUUCUGUACAAAAAAAGUAAAAGAUAAACAUGAAAAAAAGUUGGGUGGGAACUCAUAAAAUUUCGGCCUUCUCCGUCGGCACCAGGCUUUUAUAGUCCAGAUGGCCUGACUGGUCCAACGUUAAGCCAUAUUCAGAAUAGGGUGUUAUUUCCGACAUGCCCCAAGUUGUUCUGUCUAGCGGCUAGUCUAUCUUAUGGCCUGGCCUAGCUGAAGUGUGAGCGAUGGGACAGGUUUUUCCUCUGUUACUGGGUGUCGGCAACGUCAGCGGCUGAGCUCUCCGUGUUAUCGUGUGUCUCUCUGCUGACUGCAGCAAUGACUCAGAGGGACCCCGCCGCGCUACGUCGUGAUUUAGCACGGGAUGUAAAUCUGACAGGAAAGAUUUAUCGGAGACAAAAGCGCGUCUUAAUGUUUACACCCGCUGCGCCAAGAUUAAUUACACCCAAAGAAGAAGUACACAUCCAGGGAAAAUGUAGGGUUGAAAAAAAAAAAAAAAAAAAGGGUUGUACAUCCAUGUUAAUGCGGAAACUAGGGCCUUUUCUAAUUUGGGCAAAAGUCUGUCCUCUGCCCUCUCUCCUCCUUUACCUGGAAACCAAUAAGUGGUGGAGGAGUGUUAAUUUGUUUUUAUAAUUGUAUACAUUUAUUUGGGGAUUCCGGCCUGUAAACUCCAUUUGCCUGAUGACGCGCAAUUGGAGGAGUCAUUUCAUAAGCAUAUUGUCAUUCACAUUCCCUCGCCGCCCCUUCUCGAUUACCUUUGACCUCUUUCAAAAGGAUGCCAGAGAGGACGGAGGAGUUGAGCAAAUCCAAUUGAGAAAAGGCCCAUCUCCACUUGAUGUGACACGGUGUUAAUUGUGGAGAAGCUGAUUAGCACCGCACUGCCCUUUUCGCCAUGGCAACCCACUUUAUCCUAGCCAAGCCAAAAUCCCCCCUGGAUAUGUCACUGGAGCCUCAGAUGUCAUGGAAGAUGUACUAUAACUAUCUCAUGAUUCACCUGAAUGUGGGAUGCUAAAUCUUAGUGAGAAAUAUUGGAGUAAAUAUUACUUGAGUGAAAUUGGUAACACAACAAAUGCGUAGGUGUGAUUGUCAAAUAAACAAAGAACAUUCGUGGUGAUCUUCAUAUUCCAUUGGAAUCUACUGUUGGACUGCUGUGGAGGGCUGUUCUCCUAUAUACUGUAGAUGGUGUGAAAUGUGUGUGAAUGAGAGAGGGGCAGAGUGCAUGGAGACAGGUGUAUUAAAUUGGAUCAGCUCUCUCGCACGCACUGAGAUCAGCCAUUCAGUUACUGUGUAGACAAGCAGUAAGUAUAAAGGUCACUCGGCUGGCAUCUAGACAAGGUUGAAAUGAGCAGAGCAGC